GGGUGGUCGAACUGACAACUGGAGAAACAAAGAAGUGAGAAGCUGUUCAGAAAAGACCUCAAAGAAGUUAACACUAAAGUGUAUCACGAGGGUCGGGGCCUGUUCCCGAGGGAGCUGUAUAUCCUCCGCCUGGGGCUCGUCAGUCACGAAAUAAGAAAAAGGAUUAUGCUAGUCCGUGCAUCAUAAUGCCCAGCCCCAUGCCGCAAGGAUCUGUACACAACUCCUGGAAGCUGAAAAUGUCUUAGUUCUUCCAUGGUCUGCAUACUCACCAGACAUGUCACCCAUUGAGCAUGUUUGGGAUACUCUGGAUUGAUAUGUACGGGAGCGUGUUCCAGUUCUCCCCAAUAUCCAGCAACUUUGCACAGCCAUUGAAGAGGAGUGGGACAGCAUUCCACAGGCCACAAUCAACAGCCUGAUCAACUCUAUGUAAAGAUGCAUAUCUCUAUUCCCAGUCAUGUUGUAACGGUUGUCUUCAUAAAUGGACCAAGGCGCAGCAGGCCUACUUGGAGUAGACUACACAGUGAGAGCCUGCAUAAUUUACAAUGACAAGACGAUGACGAAUGGAUGCACAUGCUACAAGGGUGAAAGAACACAAUAUGUCUGUCACGAAGAGUUAGGGAGUCUUUGCAGCGUGUAGAUGGUGCAGAGAGCGAGCUGAUCAAGGGGUCGAAAAUGUAGAUAUUUCCAGAUAUUUCACUCUCCGUGGAACAGACCGUGGUGGAAGCUUUAUUGCUGGCAAAAGUGUCCAUAACCAGAGAUAAUUAAACUGUUCUGUGUUCUUUUUCUCUCUUUAUGUCUGCCUGUCUUGUUGUACAUGGAACCUGUCUCACAUGCAUUACUUUAAAAAAAAUGAUGAUGUCUGCUGCUAAUUUUCAGAUUUUACACCACUUAAACACAGCCAUUUUCACUGGACUAUCUGUUGCUGCCAAGUCAUGAAUUCCCUGGGGGUUAGCCUUGCAAUAACCAAGUGGUUAUAUCAGCUGUUUUGGUGAAGACCUCCUGCAUCUGAACUGGCUGACACAGAGGGCACAGCAUGAUCAUAGGUAUGUUUUGAUGUGAGAGAGGAAGCUAGUCCCGUCAUCACCACCUCACCCGCUUUUAAGAUAACCUUCGGGCCAACCGGAGGCCCAAGGCUGGUUAGGAGACCUCUCUGGGAUAGGCGUCCCGCUCGCGUGACACCUGUCGACAACAUCCGGUGAAAUUGGAGGGAGCGCA
This 1215-nucleotide long non-coding RNA is filed under the name Salmo salar (Atlantic salmon). Its description in RNAcentral is "lncRNA (ENSSSAG00000101345.1)". The record is from RNAcentral. Lineage: Eukaryota; Metazoa; Chordata; Actinopteri; Salmoniformes; Salmonidae.